This 95-nucleotide transfer RNA is filed under the name Gymnopus androsaceus JB14. It matches the Rfam family "tRNA". From Rfam's summary of the family: Transfer RNA (tRNA) molecules are approximately 80 nucleotides in length. Their secondary structure includes four short double-helical elements and three loops (D, anti-codon, and T loops). Further hydrogen bonds mediate the characteristic L-shaped molecular structure. tRNAs have two regions of fundamental functional importance: the anti-codon, which is responsible for specific mRNA codon recognition, and the 3' end, to which the tRNAs corresponding amino acid is attached (by aminoacyl-tRNA synthetases). tRNAs cope with the degeneracy of the genetic code in two manners: having more than one tRNA (with a specific anti-codon) for a particular amino acid; and 'wobble' base-pairing, i.e. permitting non-standard base-pairing at the 3rd anti-codon position. The record is from Rfam by way of RNAcentral. Lineage: Eukaryota; Fungi; Basidiomycota; Agaricomycetes; Agaricales; Omphalotaceae.
GCUUCCUUAGCUCAGUCGGUAGAGCGCCAGUCUCAUAGCAUGAGGAAUUGCAUUCCAUAAUCUGGAGGUCGCAAGUUCGAGCCUUGCAGGGAGCA